Small nuclear RNA from Bos grunniens (domestic yak), 104 nucleotides. NCBI's taxonomy places the organism in Eukaryota, Metazoa, Chordata, Mammalia, Artiodactyla, Bovidae. The record is from Ensembl.
GUGCUCACUUCUGCAAAACAUGCACUAAAAUUGGAAUGAUACAGAGAAGAUUAGCAUCCUUGCACAAGGAUGACACACAAAUUAGUGCAGAAUUUCUUAUUUUU